This is a long non-coding RNA of Grammomys surdaster, 1869 nucleotides long. RefSeq lists it as uncharacterized. Lineage: Eukaryota; Metazoa; Chordata; Mammalia; Rodentia; Muridae. The record is from RefSeq and is a predicted model, not a curated record. The transcript has 2 exons.
UGUUACAUCAAAAACACAGAAUCUCGUGAGUGACAGGUUAAGUGUCUGUACCAUGGAGUCCUUCCUACAUAUGCACAGGUGCACUACGGCAGAGGCUGCUGGGACGGUCGGGCUCCAAAAAGUUCACAGGCAGGAAGAGCUGGGAACCAAACACAGCGGGUUUUGUUUUUCUCCCUUUCUCUCCCUCCUCUAGUUCUCCUUGACAACCGUCAGACAGGAUGAAGACAUGGGCAAUUUAUUCCACAUCACCUGAGCCACAGACAAGGCCAAGUUGAGAAGGAGGAAUGUAAAGCUGGUUCCCAAAUCCUCCUUUGCUCAUCCUUUGCCAUGAUGAGGACAGUCCUAGUCAGCGGUGGCUGGGAGGGGUGGUAAAGCGGCUGUAUCUGAACUUAAUGGUUUUUUGUUAUCCUUAGCAGGCUCCAGGCUGUUCUCCUGGUUGCUGGAGAUCUGUGAAGUACUCGUCAGAGACUCCGGGUCUGAGCUGCCGCAAGGCGUGUUGAUGGAGGAGCUGCUCAUGAUUAGGCUCCAGAAGUUUUUAUGGUUGAGGUAGCAAAGGGUCCCUGGCGGCGGUGGUGGGGGUGAGGGACAAGAAAAAGAAGGAGAAGCUGAGAUCCGCAUGGAAGGUGACAGGUGAGGUAUGCUGAAGGGAAGGUUAAGACCUUGCGGACUUCCGGGGGUGGCUGAGAGGAGUUACCCGCCUCUUCCAGUCACAAAGUCUCUGCCCUGAUCCACCCAACUCCCUUCCUCCCCCAGGGUCUCUUAACCACUUACCACAAGUGAAAUACAGGAUGAGCACCAGCCAACCAACGAAAUAGCUCCAGCCGAUGGGAACUGAUAUAUUCUUCUUCAGCUCGUAGAUCCAGAGGUUAACAGGGAACAACAGGAGGCAUUCAGAAAACAUCGUACUUCCGCUCUCACUUCCCUCUGCUCCCCUCGCCGCUCCCAACGCUCGCUCCACCCCUACCCCCAUCUCCCAGAGAAGAGGGAGAUGUGCCCAGGACCAUGUGGGCUAGGGAAUUAAGAACCUUUUUCAGAGCUGAGGGGCACCUUCACAGAAGCUCAGGAUGAUCCCAAUCAAGCCAAAGAAAGGCAUUUUCUGCAGGCAGGGCAGGUACGGCAGGUGCAGCCAGGUGGUGAGGAUAAAACCCAGCCCUACGGCCAGGGUGAAACUUAUCUUAGCCACCCCAAAAACUGGAUGGACUGUCCACAUCUUAAAAUUGUCUAGGGGGAAAAUGACAAAAAUAGGGAGGAACUCAGGAUUCACAAAAAUGAAAUACAGUCAAGUGAACAAAUAUGGGAACACUCAGGUUGUCUGGAAUCAAAGAAACCCUGCACAGUUGAAAUUAGGGAACAAUACUUUCCCUCAAGUAAGAGUCCUGAUCUGAAGACUGAGAAGGCUAGGCAGACUCCAUGACAGACUUCAGAUUGGCAGCUAAGGGGACUAGGCCUAAACACUGGGCAAGUCCAGCUGGCAAGCCCAGGUAAUUCAAUUACUAACAGGGAAAACAACAACAAAACAAAACAAAAAAACCAGGCUCCAGCCUUCACACCCAGCUAAUGGAAUGUCCCCAGCCACCUGGCCUGAAGCAAGGACAAUGGGUCAGCAGCAGUUUCUAGACUUCCUCAGCUACUUCCUCAGUAACAGUCUCCAGAUCUCCCCAGCGAGUUUCCAGCCCCCACACCCCAGCAACAGAAUGUCUGUCGGUAGACUUGGACCCAACAGAUUAACCUAGAGCUCGCCUACUCCAAAAUUCCCUAAUGUGCUUUAAAUCAGGCCUGCAGGCUCACUUGGGUGUCUAUCUUGGGAAUGGGGAGACCCCAGCAUGUUGGACUUCUACAGAAUAAAACUUUCUUUACAUUUACAUACUA